This 620-nucleotide ribosomal RNA is filed under the name Staphylococcus aureus. RNAcentral's name for it is "partial 23S ribosomal RNA". It matches the Rfam family "Bacterial large subunit ribosomal RNA", at positions 940 to 1561 of the family's 2925-position model. The record is from RNAcentral. Lineage: Bacteria; Bacillati; Bacillota; Bacilli; Caryophanales; Staphylococcaceae.
CGAAUUCAGACAAACUCCGAAUGCCAAUUAAUUUAACUUGGGAGUCAGAACAUGGGUGAUAAGGUCCGUGUUCGAAAGGGAAACAGCCCAGACCACCAGCUAAGGUCCCAAAAUAUAUGUUAAGUGGAAAAGGAUGUGGCGUUGCCCAGACAACUAGGAUGUUGGCUUAGAAGCAGCCAUCAUUUAAAGAGUGCGUAAUAGCUCACUAGUCGAGUGACACUGCGCCGAAAAUGUACCGGGGCUAAACAUAUUACCGAAGCUGUGGAUUGUCCUUUGGACAAUGGUAGGAGAGCGUUCUAAGGGCGUUGAAGCAUGAUCGUAAGGACAUGUGGAGCGCUUAGAAGUGAGAAUGCCGGUGUGAGUAGCGAAAGACGGGUGAGAAUCCCGUCCACCGAUUGACUAAGGUUUCCAGAGGAAGGCUCGUCCGCUCUGGGUUAGUCGGGUCCUAAGCUGAGGCCGACAGGCGUAGGCGAUGGAUAACAGGUUGAUAUUCCUGUACCACCUAUAAUCGUUUUAAUCGAUGGGGGGACGCAGUAGGAUAGGCGAAGCGUGCGAUUGGAUUGCACGUCUAAGCAGUAAGGCUGAGUAUUAGGCAAAUCCGGUACUCGUUAAGGCUGAGC